This 406-nucleotide ribosomal RNA is filed under the name uncultured bacterium. RNAcentral describes it as "partial 16S ribosomal RNA". It matches the Rfam family "Bacterial small subunit ribosomal RNA", at positions 30 to 526 of the family's 1533-position model. The record is from RNAcentral.
AUUGAACGCUGGCGGCAGGCCUAACACAUGCAAGUCGAGCGAGCGGCGGACGGGUGAGUAAUGUCUGGGAAACUGCCUGAUGGAGGGGGAUAACUACUGGAAACGGUAGCCAAUACCGCAUACCAUCAGAUGUGCCCAGUUGGGAUUAGCUAGUAGGUGGGGUAAUGGCUCACCUAGGCGACGAGCCCUAGCUGGUCUGAGAGGAUGACCUGCCACACGGGAACUGAGACACGGUCCAUACUCCUACGGUGGUCACCAGUGGGAAAUAUUGCACAAUGGGCGCAGGCCUGCUGCAGCCAUGCCGCGUGUGUGAAGAAGGCCUUCGGGUUGUAAAGCACUUUCAGCGGGGAGGCGUUACCCGCAGAAGAAGCACCGGCUAACUCCGUGCCAGCAGCCGCGGUAAUUC